AACGUAGGGGUCGAGCGUUAUCCGGAAUUACUGGGCGUAAAGCGCGUGUAGGCGGCUGUUUAAGUUGGACGUGAAAGCUCCUGGCUCAACUAGGAGAGGUCGUUCAAAACUGGGCAGCUCGAGGAUGGUAGAGGCAAGUGGAAUUCCCGGUGUAGUGGUGAAAUGCGUAGAUAUCGGGAGGAACACCAGUGGCGAAGGCGGCUUGCUGGGCCAACCCUGACGCUGAGACGCGAAAGCUAGGGGAGAGAACGGG
This 253-nucleotide ribosomal RNA is filed under the name uncultured bacterium. RNAcentral's name for it is "partial 16S ribosomal RNA". It matches the Rfam family "Bacterial small subunit ribosomal RNA", at positions 524 to 776 of the family's 1533-position model. The record is from RNAcentral.